UACGUAGGGUGCAAGCGUUGUCCGGAAUUAUUGGGCGUAAAGAGCUCGUAGGCGGUCUGUCGCGUCUGCUGUGAAAACUCGGGGCUUAACCCCGGGCCUGCAGUGGGUACGGGCAGACUAGAGUGCGGUAGGGGAGACUGGAAUUCCUGGUGUAGCGGUGAAAUGCGCAGAUAUCAGGAGGAACACCGGUGGCGAAGGCGGGUCUCUGGGCCGUAACUGACGCUGAGGAGCGAAAGCUAGGGGAGCGAACAGG
RNAcentral lists this ribosomal RNA (253 nucleotides) under uncultured bacterium. RNAcentral describes it as "partial 16S ribosomal RNA". It matches the Rfam family "Bacterial small subunit ribosomal RNA", at positions 524 to 776 of the family's 1533-position model. The record is from RNAcentral.